This is a long non-coding RNA of Danaus plexippus (monarch butterfly), 906 nucleotides long. RefSeq lists it as uncharacterized. The record is from RefSeq and is a predicted model, not a curated record. Lineage: Eukaryota; Metazoa; Arthropoda; Insecta; Lepidoptera; Nymphalidae. The transcript has 2 exons.
UAAAUAUCUAGAACGAGAAAGUUAACAUUAAUAGAAAAGUACUUAUAAUAUUUAAAACAAAACCUGAAAUUAUGAAAAUACAGUGAUAACAUCUAAUGCCAACAAGAUACAACGUAAUAAACUUGUAUCUCCACUGUAAACAAGUGGUAAUAGUGAUGGAGCAGUCGCAGGCUGAUAGCGGGCCGAUGGUGUCGGUGGCGAAGGAGUGCGUCCGUCAGCGGAGCCCUACGCACGGAGCCACGCGCCGUCAUCAGGGCGCUUAUCAAUAACUUGCCGAUUGGUCGAGUGAAGUGUUUGCGAUGCCGAUACGACUAGCGGGAACCAAUCGAUUUCCCGUUCCAUCAAAUCUUAUCUUAAUCAUGGUGGACAUUCAUACAGUUUGUCAGUGCCCUGAUAUCCUAUCUGAAGAUAUGAUAUAGUGUAUAAAUAUGGGCCCAUCGAUCGAUCAGGUCUCUAUCGAAGUUUGAACUCUGAUUAACAUUUACUGUCGAAGCUAAAUCAGUGAACCCUGCGGAGUCUUGGACCAGGUGAUGCGCUUAGAAGACUUCGUCCGGAUUCACGUCUGAGUUGGACAGGGGAUCUUGACAGUUUCACGUGAUAUGCUGCCAGAUCUAUCUUUCCAGCUCACACGUGGAACCUCCUUCGACAAACGCCCUCCGAAGAAAAGUCAUGCUUGGAAGAUAAAACUGGCGUUAAGGAUUAAGUGGAGGUGUGAUCUCUUCACUUUUUUUGUUUAAAGUGAGAUUCAACUCCUCCAACUUAACCCUGAAUCGCAAUGGUCGUCAACAUUCCACCAAGAUAUAGUUUUUAUUGUAUUGCUCACCACCUACAAUGUAUAUUACUUAUUCGUUCUUUAAUAUAAUUUUACAUGUUCCUAAUUUUAAUAAAUAUGUUUUAUUGUGUUUC